RNAcentral lists this long non-coding RNA (240 nucleotides) under Manihot esculenta (cassava). RNAcentral's name for it is "long non-coding RNA (MESC_LNC005603)". Lineage: Eukaryota; Viridiplantae; Streptophyta; Magnoliopsida; Malpighiales; Euphorbiaceae. The record is from RNAcentral.
GGGUACACAGCCUGCGUCUCCCCCACCGCCGCUAAAAAACUGAAAAUCAUAAGGUGGAUCACUGAUUGGUGCAAAUGGUUGACGGUUGAACAUGGGAGAACAAUCUCAAACUUUAAAAUCAAACUAAUAGAAGAAUUGGUGGGUGAUCUGUACUAUCCAUAUUGUAGGAUAGUUUUAUAUUCAUUCGUCAAUCUCAUCUUAUUGUUAAAAAAAAAAAAUCAACUUUAAUUUCCUUUUCAC